This 253-nucleotide ribosomal RNA is filed under the name [Ruminococcus] lactaris ATCC 29176. Its description in RNAcentral is "partial 16S ribosomal RNA". It matches the Rfam family "Bacterial small subunit ribosomal RNA", at positions 524 to 776 of the family's 1533-position model. The record is from RNAcentral. Lineage: Bacteria; Bacillati; Bacillota; Clostridia; Lachnospirales; Lachnospiraceae.
UACGGAGGAUCCGAGCGUUAUCCGGAUUUACUGGGUGUAAAGGGAGCGUAGACGGAGCAGCAAGUCUGAUGUGAAAACCCGGGGCUCAACCCCGGGACUGCAUUGGAAACUGUUGAUCUGGAGUGCCGGAGAGGUAAGCGGAAUUCCUAGUGUAGCGGUGAAAUGCGUAGAUAUUAGGAGGAACAUCAGUGGCGAAGGCGGCUUACUGGACUGAAACUGACACUGAGGCACGAAAGCGUGGGGAGCAAACAGG